This 253-nucleotide ribosomal RNA is filed under the name uncultured bacterium. RNAcentral's name for it is "partial 16S ribosomal RNA". It matches the Rfam family "Bacterial small subunit ribosomal RNA", at positions 524 to 776 of the family's 1533-position model. The record is from RNAcentral.
UACGUAGGGGGCAAGCGUUGUCCGGAUUUAUUGGGCGUAAAGAGCGUGUAGGCGGCCAUACAGGUCCGUUGUGAAAACUGGAGGCUCAACCUCCAGACGUCGACGGAAACCGUAUGGCUAGAGUCCGGAAGAGGAGAGUGGAAUUCCUGGUGUAGCGGUGAAAUGCGCAGAUAUCAGGAAGAACACCCGUGGCGAAGGCGGCUCUCUGGGACGGUACUGACGCUGAGACGCGAAAGCGUGGGGAGCAAACAGG